RNAcentral lists this ribosomal RNA (439 nucleotides) under uncultured bacterium. Its description in RNAcentral is "partial 16S ribosomal RNA". It matches the Rfam family "Bacterial small subunit ribosomal RNA", at positions 338 to 795 of the family's 1533-position model. The record is from RNAcentral.
CCUACGGGCGGCAGCAGUAGGGAAUAUUGCUCAAUGGCGGAAACCCUGAAGCAGCAACGCCGCGUGGAGGAUGACGGUCUUCGGAUUGUAAACUCCUUUUGUUAGAGAAGAUAAUUACGGUAUCUAACGAAUAAGCACCGGCAAACUCCGUGCCAGCCGCCGCGGUAAUAGGGGGGCGGCAGCGUUAAUCGGGAUAACCGGGCGUAAAGCGGGCGUAGGCGGGAUAGCAAGUCAGAUGGGAAAUCCUAGGGGUUAACCAUAGAACUGCAUUUGAAACUGUUAUUCUAGAGUUUGGGAGGGGUAGGUGGAAUGCUUGGUGUAGGGGUAAAAUGCGUAGAGAUCAAGAAGAAUACUCAUUGCGAAGGCGACCUGCUAGAACAUAACUGACGCUGAUGCGCGAAAGCGUGGGGAGCGAACAGGAUUAGAUACCCCAGUAGUC